CGGGGUGGGCCCCGGCGAGAGGGCCCGCCCGGCGCGGCUCUGGUGCGCGGUGCCGUGCCGCUCCCCUGCGGGGCCGAUUCCGCUCGUGGCUCCGCCGUGCGCCGGGCAGCCUGUCCGCCGGAGAAAAGUAUUCCAAACCGAGAAAAGCAGAGGCUCUCUCUACUGAGCCUGGGGACAGCUGCUGGAAUAAGAAAAUGCAAAACAGUCACUAGAACAACAGAACCUCUGAACUCAGCAACUGAAAUUUCCAAUUACAGACGUGCUGCUGUUUCUCCUCCCUCAUCACAGCUGUUUAGCUUGAUCACUCCCCCAGCCCCAGUGGGACGACCAGCGUGAAGGAUGCGGUGCCAGGCAUGCUCCGACAGCCAAAUCAAAGGCCCAGCCAAGCCUGUGCCUCAGCGAUGAGUCUGGAGGAAAUCAGAGGCCCUCAUUAAAGUUUCAGAAAAACCUAACCGGAACUGGCUCCUCCUGGUUUGUGCCUGGGAUAAGAGGCUCAGAGACCAUCCUGACAUCACUGUGACCACGAUUUCACCAGGCUGACGUACUGCGAGAAUUCUCUGUUUGAGAUGAAUAAUAGGUUGAAUAUGGUAUGUGACGGCUCUGUAGACUCCGAAGAUAUAACAUGAACAAAUAUAUUGUUCUGGAAAGCUGGCAUAAGAACGUUACUGAGGAUUUAGAAGGAUCUUGACUACCAGACAGGAAUUGAAAACUGGAUGGGUUUCCAUCUCUGUAGUAAUCAUCUCACGAUGCGGUCCCAGUCUGAAUGCACCGAGAGCUGGCCCCUGUGCUGCAUGCUGUGUGUGUCAGAGGCUCCGUGAAGAUCACAUACUUAUCCAAGUACUUAUGGCAUUCAGCUGAAGGAGUCCCCUCCCUGCACUCCUGCUCCUCGUAGCCAGAAGCGUGUCUCUGAGUCCAGAUGGCCCCGUUCCACCACUCUCUAGCCAUUAGUUUGUAUUCAGUAUUCAUAAUUGCUUCGCUAACUGAGAAACUUUACAAUCUGUUGCAGGCCAUUAUAUGCAAAACCAUGCCCAAAUAAUUGAUCCCCUGCCAU
Long non-coding RNA from Grus americana (Whooping crane), 1051 nucleotides. RefSeq lists it as uncharacterized. NCBI's taxonomy places the organism in Eukaryota, Metazoa, Chordata, Aves, Gruiformes, Gruidae. The transcript has 6 exons. The record is from RefSeq and is a predicted model, not a curated record.